RNAcentral lists this long non-coding RNA (4297 nucleotides) under Lathyrus oleraceus (garden pea). RNAcentral describes it as "Pisum sativum (pea) long non-coding RNA (PSAT_LNC038211)". The record is from RNAcentral. Lineage: Eukaryota; Viridiplantae; Streptophyta; Magnoliopsida; Fabales; Fabaceae.
UUGUGUCCAUCCAUGUGAUCAUCAUCGUUCCAUAUAACAUCAAGUGGGAUUUUCGCUUUCUUGUAAUUUUCGACAACGUCUUCUACAACAGAUAAGUUGUGAUAACCCCAUCUGCAUUGGUGGAAUCCUAUUACAUAACAAAUAAAUCAAGUCAGCACGUUGGUUAAGUAGAUAGGGUGUCGUAUCAGUGUGACACGUGUUGGACACCAAAUACAUUUUUGUUCAGAGGUGUUGGUGCUAGUUGGCGCGUAAUCAUGUACCACAAUAAUAUUGAUAAAAACUACACUUUCCAGUAUCAAAAUUCAGGUCUGAUAAGCCUAACUAUAACACAUACCAAAUAUAAAAGUUAAUAGAAUGUGCAACAUAGUGUGGUAUGAGAGAUUGUGAAAAGUGAAAAGUGAAUCAUACCAAAAGCCCAAUAAGGCAUUGGAGCCGGUCUACCGAUAAACGAUGUGUACUGAUCAACAACAUUAAGAGGCGUAGGACCUGCAAAGAAAUAAAAAUCAAGAACUCCUCCAAUAAUCUUGUAGGUCAGAGAGGUUCCUUUGUAAGACACAUCCAUUCCGUUGCUAUUCAACAACAAAACACCAUGUGUAUAAGGUUUGCCACCUUCAUUUCUAAGAUCCAUGUACACAGGGUGUGAUCCAUAUAGAUCAGUAUUGAGAUUAAUGGCUGAUACAUCAGUGGUAUACAAAGUAUAAGGGUCAUUUGGAUACAACUUUAUCCCAUGUGGCUGUGUGUUUUCUCCAAAACCAUAUAAAGAAGCAUCUUUUGGCAAUUUCGUAGAGAUUUCUAUGUAUUGGUCUUUGAAAACCAAUGGACCAAAUGAGUCUGAAUUGUUAGAAUUGGAGUCAAAAAGGGUAUCUCCAUUGGACUUCCUUUUCACUGCAAAACUAAAUGGGUCAGAAGUGUAACUGAAAACAAGCUCAGAGCUUGAAUACUCCGAAACUGAUAAUGGCUGCUUCUUCUUCUUCAACCUCUUUAUAUUCUGCUUCAGAGGUGGUGGUUGCUCCCUAGGCAAAAGAUUGUAAGGAACCUCCCAUCUUUUGUUCUUUGCAUCCGUUAUGUGUACCCUCAAACGAUUCUCAGUCUCAUGCCUGCAAAACCAAGAACCAAAGUAUAAGGUACAUAACACCUUCACUCGUGUCUGACAGGGCCGUCUUUAAGGGUGUGCAAUAUGGGCUACUGCACAUGGCCUCAAAUUCGUCACAGUUAAAUAGGGUCUCAUAAUAAAUUUGUCACGACUAAACCAUGUCUAAAACGGGCCCCUAGUUGUUUUUGUCUAAGUUGAACCAUAACUAACAUACAUAAGGCCUCCAAAAACUUAAGACACUCUGGUGUCUGGUGUCUGAGUUCAUCGCUGACACGAGACACAAUACCAACACAUGUAAUUACGUUCGGUUUAUUAUUUUUUUCAAAUUAUUAUUGAUAUCAAUGUCUAAGUGUCGAGUCACGUAUCUAUGUUAGUGUUUAGUAAGAUUCAUAAAGAAAAAACAGGAAUGCAUAAUUAUUUACUUGACAUAGAAGCGCAGAAGGGGAAUGUCAGGACCAUAGAUAUUAUUCCUCUCCUUAACUUGAAGGAGUCCAGUGAUAGCACCAUUAGGGUCAUCUUGAAUAGAUAUCAAACGGUAACCUUGACCAAUUUUGGUGGAUUUUGGAGAAGAAGAAGAAGAAGAGGAGGCAUGUUUAGCUUCAGAGAGAAACAAAGUUAGAAGAAGAUAAGAGAGAAAAAGAGUGGCUAAUACAUUGAGAGAAGCCAUAGUAGGACACUGUAGAGUAAAACAACGUAGGAGAGGGUUCUGAUAUAUAAUUGAGAAAAUGGUUACUUUGGUGUUUUUGUGUUUGUUUCUUGUGGGACAUAAGAAGAUUGAGUGAGGAAGUGUCUCAUAGGAUCCAUUACGUUACGCGUGACUUUGAACUUGAGAGGAUCAUACUAAUCUUGUGACUGUGGGCCAUUCUGUUCCUUAUUCUUUCAUCUCUCUAGCAUGCUGAAGUGGAUAGAUAAUUAGAUACCUUAAAAAUUGUCUGAUGUUUUACCCUAACUUUAUUAGGUUUUAAAAUACGCGGUUGUCUCAGUGUAAAUUAACCAUAAUUUAUUCUUUAAUAUAAAAAUGGUAAAUAAUGGUAUCCGUAUUUGCCAAUACGGUUUUGUUGUAUCUGUUUUCGCAGUCUUGGACAGUUAUUUAAAACUCUCGCUUUAUUACACAAUGAUAACAUAAUGGAACACUCUUAAAUUUGACACAAGAUUCAAAAAAGAUGAGAUGAAAGAGUCUAAACUUAUGAUCCCAUCUUCCAUGUAAGAGAAAAUCUUUUACCUACAGGGAUAUUCAAUCCCUUCAAUCCAACCAUUACUGUUUUCUUUUCUCCAUCUCCUUCCUUGUACAAGUACUUAUGUUCAUUUGUACUAACUUUCACAUUUGAGACACCACUUGAUGGUUCUCCAUCUAUCUCAAUUCUAACUAGUUCUCCACUUCCAUAGCUCAAUCCCAACACAUUUAUUGUGUCAAUAACCAAACCUUGAUCUAAAGCAAACUUGCCCUCUUGAACUUCUGACCAAACUUUCACACUUCCUUCUUUCACUCUUGCAUGGAAUUCAACGUAGGUCGAAUAUCCAUUUCCGAGCUUCAUAUCUGGCAUCUCGUCAUCGUCGAUGAACAAAUUUCCUUUAGCUUCUCCUUCAUUUGCGCCGGCUGGAAAUGUCACGAUGAGGCUAAAAGGUGUCGUUCUAGCAUCCUUAGAUACCAUACCACCUUGUUGCAUUGGAAGAAUGGUGUUCUGAUAUAAAUGCACAUUGAUUUCAUGCAAGGGUGCAUUAAGGGUCACAUAGUUUCCAUCUUUUGAAACAAUUACUUGUGUCAAAUCAAAUAAACUGUACCAUGUUCCGGGCGGAAAGAGUGCUUCUACUUCCGUUUUCCCUUGCUCGAGAACAGGAGAAAUCAUUAAACUGCUUCCGAGUAAGAACUGAGUGCUGAGGCCAUAACAUUGAACAUAAUUUGGAAACGAGAAAAAAAGAGGCCGAGCAAUCGGGGCUCCACUAAUAUGAGCCUCGUAGUUUAGCGUGUACAGAUAGGGUAGAAGCUUAUAUCUCAUCCCCAAAGCAUUUCUAGCCGAUUCAGCUACGGAUUCCCAUCGGUAAAGCUCCUGUCUAGGGGAAAUAACACUUGAAUGAUCCCUUGAGAAUGGAUAGAAAGCACCAACUUCAAUCCACCUAUUACAAAGCUCUUCGGUAGGCGCAGGAUAGAAACCACAUAUAUCUGCACCAACCAUUGGCAUGCCAAAUAUUCCGAAAUUGAGAACGGUGGAUAUAGAAUAUCUUAAAUCCUCCCAUGUUCCUUUGUUGUCACCAGUCCAAUGAGCAGCAUAUUUGCCCGAUCCUACGUAAGUCGAACGAGACAAAACAAAUGGUCGUUUACCUUGAAGUUCAUGAAGUGCUUUGUGCGUUGCAAUGACUUCGGAGAAACCAAAAAGACUAUGAGCAUCAUAUUCCAACACGCCAUUAUAAUGAACUGCACUAGUUGCUAUCGUUUUGAAGCCUAUUGGAGCCUCUUUUCCGGACGCAUUGAUUUUGUAAGGUGGAUCAUCCCAUCUUGUGCUUGUGAUGUUUGUACAAUCCAAGCAACACGUCGAAUUAGGUAAUUUCUCACCUUGAAGUGGACAAAAUCUUCCCUUUGGAAUAGUACAUUUUCCAGUGCAAAAAUUUGAAACCUCGUUCAUGUCAAUCCAUAAGCCAUCAAUAGGAACAAGUUCAUGGAAUCGGCGAAUCUCGUCUCCCCACCAAGAAACUGUUUUUGGAUUAAGAAAAUCAGGAAAGUAAACUGCUCCUGGCCAAACCAUAGCCAUAAAUGGUUCACCUUCAUAUUUGAUAAAAACAUCAUUAGCCAUACCCCUCUGGUACACACCAUAGUUUGUGUUAACGGCGAUUCCGGGAUCAUUGAUCACAAUGUAUUUCAUGCCGAUGCUGUGUAUUCUGUCUAGAAAGUUUAAAAGCUUUGGAAGAGGAUAGUUAAUUGGAUUGACUGUGAAGUCCUUGUGUCCAUCCAUAUGAUCAUCAUCAUUCCAUAUCACAUCAAGUGGAAUUUUGGCCUUCUUGUAAUUCUCAACAACAUCUUCUAUGACAGAUAGGUUGUGAUAACCCCAUCUGCAUUGAUGGAAUCCUAUAAACAUUCAAAAAAUGAAUCUAUUGAGUGAAUAUAUUGGUCAUGAUGCAAACAGGUUUUGGAGAAUGUGUCUAAUCUACAAAAGAAAAUAUCUGAAAAAAAACAAAAACUGUGAUGGGACUAGAGAAGAGUGAAAAGUG